RNAcentral lists this transfer RNA (55 nucleotides) under Tigriopus japonicus. RNAcentral describes it as "tRNA-Thr". Lineage: Eukaryota; Metazoa; Arthropoda; Copepoda; Harpacticoida; Harpacticidae. The record is from RNAcentral.
GGGGUUUUAGUUUAUAUAAAAUAUGGGUUUUGUAAACCUAAGAAAGUAAGCCCCU